Small nucleolar RNA from Tachyglossus aculeatus (Australian echidna), 138 nucleotides. The record is from RefSeq and is a predicted model, not a curated record. NCBI's taxonomy places the organism in Eukaryota, Metazoa, Chordata, Mammalia, Monotremata, Tachyglossidae.
GCCCUCUCAGGAUCACUCCUGGAGAGUUUCCAGUACUCUACUAGUAUCCGCAAUGGUAGGGAGAGUCAAGCAGAGGCCUACCCUUUCCAUUCCUAGCUUGGACUGUGGCUAGCGAAUGGAAGGCAAUCUGAUACAAGU